This 251-nucleotide ribosomal RNA is filed under the name uncultured bacterium. Its description in RNAcentral is "partial 16S ribosomal RNA". It matches the Rfam family "Bacterial small subunit ribosomal RNA", at positions 524 to 775 of the family's 1533-position model. The record is from RNAcentral.
UACAGAGGGUGCAAGCGUUGUUCGGAAUUAUUGGGCGUAAAGCGCACGUAGGCGGCUUGCAAGUCCCAUGUGAAAUCCCACGGCUCAACCGUGGAAGUGCAUGGGAAACUGCAGAGCUUGAGUACUUAAGAGGAUCGCGGAAUUCCCGGUGUAGAGGUGAAAUUCGUAGAUAUCGGGAGGAACACCAGUGGCGAAGGCGGCGAUCUGGGAAGAUACUGACGCUGAGGUGCGAAAGCGUGGGGAGCAACAGG